UUAAAUAGCCAUAUCACCCUGCAACUCACAACUGGCAACCCACUGAAGCUAAGCAGGUGUGAGCCUGGUCAGUACCUGGAUGGGAGAGCUCCUGAGAACAACUAAGGUUCCUGCUGGAA
This 119-nucleotide ribosomal RNA is filed under the name Lepisosteus oculatus (spotted gar). The record is from RNAcentral. Lineage: Eukaryota; Metazoa; Chordata; Actinopteri; Semionotiformes; Lepisosteidae.